RNAcentral lists this ribosomal RNA (458 nucleotides) under uncultured bacterium. RNAcentral's name for it is "bacterial SSU rRNA". It matches the Rfam family "Bacterial small subunit ribosomal RNA", at positions 45 to 522 of the family's 1533-position model. The record is from RNAcentral.
UGGAUUAGGCAUGCAAGUCGAGCGCUCAUAGCAAUAUGGGAGCGGCGAACGGCGUAGUAAUACGUAGGAACGUACCCUCGGGUCGAGGAUAGCUAUGGGAAACUGUAGGUAAUACUCGAUAACCUCUGCGGAGCAAAGGUGUGAUUCCGCCCGAGGAGCGGCUUACGCGAUAUUAGCUAGUUGGUAGGGUAAUGGCCUACCAAGGCGAUGAUGUCUAGGGGGUGUGAGAGCAUGGCCCCCACGACCGGAACUGAGAUACUGUCCGGACACCUACGGGUGGCUGCAGUCGAGAAUCUUCCGCAAUGGACGAAAGUCUGACGGAGCGACGCCGCGUGCGGGAUGAAGGCCCUUGGGUUGUAAACCGCUGUCAGAGGGGAUGAAAUCUUCGGAGGUACUCCUCCGAAGUUGACAGAGCCUCAAAGGAAGCACGGGCUAAGUACGUGCCAGCAGCCGCGGUA